CAGAUUUGGAUAGGGUUUUGGGUGCUUCAGUUGUAACGACCCAGCCCACUAGCAACAAUAACUCGUUGGGCCCAACCACUGGCCCAAAAUACUUAAGCUCAGUUAUUAUUACUAGUGUCUAAGUCUCUUAUAAAUCUAAUGACAACCCUAUUCCCAUCCGAUGUGGGAUUAUUGGGGUGUCACAGACUCCCCGCGUUAAAGCCCUGACGUCCUCGUCAGUCCAAUCACACACACAACCCAAGAUUACCAGGCGAUGUGAGACUCAUCUCGCUAGCCCGUCAUCCAGACCCUGGCUGAGCCGAGACUCGCCACACAUGUCCAGCUGGUGAACCGGCUUUGAUACCAUAUAUAACGACCCAGCCCACUAGCAAUAAUAAUUCGUUGGGCCCAACCACAGCCCAAAAUGCUUAAGCCCAGUUAUUAUUACUAGUGUCUAAGUCUCUUAUAAACCCAAUGACAACCCCAACUCGUUGGGCCCAACCACCGGCCCAAAAUGCUUAAGCCCAGUUAUUAUUACUAGUGUCUAAGUCUCUUAUAAAUCUAAUGACAACCCCAUUCCCAUCCGAUGUGGGAUUAUUGGGGUGUCACAG
RNAcentral lists this long non-coding RNA (590 nucleotides) under Ananas comosus (pineapple). RNAcentral describes it as "long non-coding RNA (ACOM_LNC021392)". Lineage: Eukaryota; Viridiplantae; Streptophyta; Magnoliopsida; Poales; Bromeliaceae. The record is from RNAcentral.